This 67-nucleotide transfer RNA is filed under the name Vermiviatum covidum. RNAcentral's name for it is "tRNA-Trp". Lineage: Eukaryota; Metazoa; Platyhelminthes; Tricladida; Geoplanidae. The record is from RNAcentral.
AGGAUUUUAAGUUAAUAAAAACUUUAAAUUUUCAAAAUUUAAAAUGGAAAAGAAUUUUCAAAUCUUA